This is a long non-coding RNA of Triticum dicoccoides, 431 nucleotides long. RefSeq lists it as uncharacterized. Lineage: Eukaryota; Viridiplantae; Streptophyta; Magnoliopsida; Poales; Poaceae. The transcript has 3 exons. The record is from RefSeq and is a predicted model, not a curated record.
UGGUGCAUUACCAUUCUGGAGGGCUUUGACUUAAUCCGAACUUGUAUAAUUGUGGAAAAGUCUGCCUCAUUGGUUUUAUAAACUACCAUGAGGGCUCUUCAUCUCCAGUCGCUGGUCCACUGCUUCUCUGGUUUUAUAAAAAGGAAGUGGGGAUGGACAUUCGUGGAUUUGCCGUCCCUGAUUUGCUUUGUGGAGGACACAUGCCCAUGAUUCAUAAUGAUUUGCGGCAGUCUUAGAAGAAAAUUUCCCAUUGCUUUCAUCCCCUUUUGAGUGUCAAUUGCAAAGUUCAUCCGUUGGUGAAAGGAAACUGUACUCUUCUUUGUUUUAGUGCUCUGUCUCCCUACUUCUAUGACAGAAUGGUGUGGCUUUGUGUACAGUAAAUGUUCUCUACUCUUGCAUCCCAUGCAUUACUAUUGACAUGGUUUGUCUAC